Molecule: ribosomal RNA, 484 nt
Filed under: uncultured bacterium
Lineage: Bacteria
Description: partial 16S ribosomal RNA
Rfam family: Bacterial small subunit ribosomal RNA
Source: RNAcentral
AUUGAACGCUGGCGGCAUGCCUAACACAUGCAAGUCGAGCGGACGAACGGGGCUUUCGCUUGGAUGCAGCUACGGACGGGCGAGUGAUGCAUAGGAAGCUGCCCUGCCGUUGGGGAUAACGUACGUUAACGGGAGCUGAGAUCGCAUCCGUCCAUAUGGUGAAAGGGGGGGUUCUACAGACAUAGCGCGAUUAGAUGAGCCUAGUUCGGAUUAGCUAGUUGGUUGGGUAAAGGCCUACCAAGGCGACGAUCCAUAACUGGUCUGAGAGGAUGAUCAGCCACACUGGAACUGAGACACGGUCCAGACUCCUACGGGAGGCAGCAGUGGGGAAUCUUGGGCAAUGGGCGAAAGCCUGAUCCAGCCAUGCCGCGUGUGUGAAGAAGGUCUUCGGAUUGUAAAGCACUUUUAGUAGGGAAGAAGAGCUGUAUGUUAAUAUGUUGCUGUCUUGACGGUACCUAAAGAAUAAGCACCGGCUAACUUCGUG